GUCUACGGCCAUGCCACCCUGAAAAAGCCAGAUCCCGUCUGAUGUCGGAAGCUAAGUAAGGUCGGGCCUGGUUAGUACUUGGAUGGGAGACCACCUAGGAAGACCAGGUGCUAUAGGCA
RNAcentral lists this ribosomal RNA (119 nucleotides) under Pteropus alecto (black flying fox). The record is from RNAcentral. Lineage: Eukaryota; Metazoa; Chordata; Mammalia; Chiroptera; Pteropodidae.